RNAcentral lists this long non-coding RNA (488 nucleotides) under Scleropages formosus (Asian bonytongue). RNAcentral describes it as "lncRNA (ENSSFOG00015027859.1)". The record is from RNAcentral. Lineage: Eukaryota; Metazoa; Chordata; Actinopteri; Osteoglossiformes; Osteoglossidae.
CUCCAAUCCGCAGACACGUCUGUUAUUGGGACGCGGGUCCCUGUUUAGUUUAGUGUGUUUGACAUGUGUUGGUGUUAACUUAUCCGGGAUCACGCGUGCACAGUGUGCUGGCCAUCGCGGGGCAUCGCGGGGCAUCAAGGGUCAGGGGCUCCUCUCCAUUCCACCUCCACGCAGGACCUGAUUCAUCUUUCGUCGAAUGGCUUUAUUGACCACCACCACCAGGUCCCAGAAAGGAGAGCGUCCAGGGUGACUCAGCCAGAUAAUCCAGUGAUUAAUAAAGUCUCCCUUCGCAUUUUCAUCCAAUACACGAGCCAGAAUUAUAUCAAAGAGAACUCCCCUCUCUUUCUGGUGCUGUGUCCGUGGGAUUCACUGUCACGCGUGAACGUGACCUCAGUGGACACCCACAGAAGAGUCCUGCACUGGAGCUACAACUGCUGAUGGACAAAGGAGACGUGGACCUGUGUGCGUGUUAUAGGCUGUCUUCAACA